RNAcentral lists this small RNA (182 nucleotides) under Staphylococcus saprophyticus. RNAcentral describes it as "Manganese sequence". It matches the Rfam family "Manganese Mn2+ riboswitch aptamer (yybP-ykoY)". Rfam says of the family: This RNA was originally discovered in E. coli during a large scale screen and was named SraF. The family was later found to exist upstream of related families of protein genes in many bacteria, including the the yybP and ykoK genes in B. subtilis. The record is from RNAcentral. Lineage: Bacteria; Bacillati; Bacillota; Bacilli; Caryophanales; Staphylococcaceae.
UCAGUUGUCAGAGGGGAGUAACUUAACUUUAGUUGAAAAUAUAUGAGUUUCGCAUACAAUCGUUUAUAUAUGGUAAGUAAUGCAACUUAUUUAUCUUUUAACUUAGUCAUUUUAUCGUCAUUACGAAGUAUCAAACUUCCGGUAAAGUGGGCAGAAUAAAACUGUCGAGUGAGACCUUUGCU